Molecule: ribosomal RNA, 476 nt
Filed under: uncultured bacterium
Lineage: Bacteria
Description: bacterial SSU rRNA
Rfam family: Bacterial small subunit ribosomal RNA
Source: RNAcentral
AUUGAACGCUGGCGGCAUGCCUUACACAUGCAAGUCGAACGGCAGCACGGGGGCAACCCUGGUGGCGAGUGGCGAACGGGUGAGUAAUACAUCGGAACGUGUCCGGUAGUGGGGGAUAGCCCGGCGAAAGCCGGAUUAAUACCGCAUACGACCUAAGGGUGAAAGCGGGGGAUCGCAAGACCUCGCGCUAGUGGAGCGGCCGAUGUCAGAUUAGGUUGUUGGUGGGGUAAAGGCCUACCAAGCCGACGAUCUGUAGCUGGUCUGAGAGGACGACCAGCCACACUGGGACUGAGACACGGCCCAGACUCCUACGGGAGGCAGCAGUGGGGAAUUUUGCGCAAUGGGGGAAACCCUGACGCAGCAACGCCGCGUGGAGGAUGAAGGUCUUUGGAUUGUAAACUCCUUUCGAUCGGGACGAUAAUGACGGUACCGGAAGAAGAAGCACCGGCUAACUCUGUGCCAGCCGCCGCCGUAAU